GGUGGCUCAGUAGUAGAGUACUUGCCUUAUAUGCAUGAGAUCCUGGGUUCGAUUUCCUCAGCACCA
This 66-nucleotide transfer RNA is filed under the name Dipodomys ordii (Ord's kangaroo rat). It matches the Rfam family "tRNA". Rfam says of the family: Transfer RNA (tRNA) molecules are approximately 80 nucleotides in length. Their secondary structure includes four short double-helical elements and three loops (D, anti-codon, and T loops). Further hydrogen bonds mediate the characteristic L-shaped molecular structure. tRNAs have two regions of fundamental functional importance: the anti-codon, which is responsible for specific mRNA codon recognition, and the 3' end, to which the tRNAs corresponding amino acid is attached (by aminoacyl-tRNA synthetases). tRNAs cope with the degeneracy of the genetic code in two manners: having more than one tRNA (with a specific anti-codon) for a particular amino acid; and 'wobble' base-pairing, i.e. permitting non-standard base-pairing at the 3rd anti-codon position. Lineage: Eukaryota; Metazoa; Chordata; Mammalia; Rodentia; Heteromyidae. The record is from Rfam by way of RNAcentral.